RNAcentral lists this ribosomal RNA (253 nucleotides) under uncultured bacterium. RNAcentral's name for it is "partial 16S ribosomal RNA". It matches the Rfam family "Bacterial small subunit ribosomal RNA", at positions 524 to 776 of the family's 1533-position model. The record is from RNAcentral.
GACAGAGGGUGCAAACGUUGCUCGGAAUCACUGGGCGUAAAGGGCGCGUAGGCGGCCUGAUAAGUCGGGGGUGAAAGCCUGUGGCUCAACCACAGAAUUGCCUUCGAUACUGUUAGGCUUGAGACCGGAAGAGGUAAGUGGAACUGCGAGUGUAGAGGUGAAAUUCGUAGAUAUUCGCAAGAACACCAGUGGCGAAGGCGGCUUACUGGUCCGGUUCUGACGCUGAGGCGCGAAAGCGUGGGGAGCAAACAGG